UGAAGCGGCAAAAGCUCAAAUUUGAAAUCUGGUACCUUCGGUGCCCGAGUUGUAAUUUGGAGAGGGCAACUUUGGGGCCGUUCCUUGUCUAUGUUCCUUGGAACAGGACGUCAUAGAGGGUGAGAAUCCCGUGUGGCGAGGAGUGCGGUUCUUUGUAAAGUGCCUUCGAAGAGUCGAGUUGUUUGGGAAUGCAGCUCUAAGUGGGUGGUAAAUUCCAUCUAAAGCUAAAUAUUGGCGAGAGACCGAUAGCGAACAAGUACAGUGAUGGAAAGAUGAAAAGAACUUUGAAAAGAGAGUGAAAAAGUACGUGAAAUUGUUGAAAGGGAAGGGCAUUUGAUCAGACAUGGUGUUUUGUGCCCUCUGCUCCUUGUGGGUAGGGGAAUCUCGCAUUUCACUGGGCCAGCAUCAGUUUUGGUGGCAGGAUAAAUCCAUAGGAAUGUAGCUUGCCUCGGUAAGUAUUAUAGCCUGUGGGAAUACUGCCAGCUGGGACUGAGGACUGCGACGUAAGUCAAGGAUGCUGGCAUAAUGGUUAUAUGCCGCCCGUCUG
Molecule: ribosomal RNA, 547 nt
Filed under: Saccharomyces cerevisiae (brewer's yeast)
Lineage: Eukaryota; Fungi; Ascomycota; Saccharomycetes; Saccharomycetales; Saccharomycetaceae
Description: partial large subunit ribosomal RNA
Rfam family: Eukaryotic large subunit ribosomal RNA
Source: RNAcentral